RNAcentral lists this unclassified non-coding RNA (360 nucleotides) under Hevea brasiliensis (rubber tree). Lineage: Eukaryota; Viridiplantae; Streptophyta; Magnoliopsida; Malpighiales; Euphorbiaceae. The record is from RNAcentral.
CAGUUCAAGGUCCCCAACUACUGUAGGUUGCAGCAGCAGGUCAGCUGCACUGCAGAAAUUAAAAUCUAUGUAUGAGGAGCAGGAGACACCCCAACUAAAACAUAGGCGGCGUAUCCUGUUAAAGCUUUCAGAUGCAAAAUGUAAGGAUUUACAAGCUAAAGACGAGCUGUUGGAGCUUCUGGAAGCUAAGGAUGCUGGGGUAGCAUAUGUAAUAGGUCACUCACAUAUUAAGGCGAAAUGGAGUGCACCGUUCUUGAAGAGGCUUUUGAUCAAUAUCUUCUACUCUUUCUUGCGUAAAAACUGCCGGUCCCCUUCUGUCUCCUUGGAUAUUCCUCAUAUUUCUUUAAUUGAGGUGGGCAA